UACACAUGCAAGUCGAGCGGAAACGAGUUGUCUGAACCUUCGGGGAACGAUAACGGCGUCGAGCGGCGGACGGGUGAGUAAUGCCUGGGAAAUUGCCCUGAUGUGGGGGAUAACUAUUGGAAACGAUAGCUAAUACCGCAUAACGUCUACGGACCAAAGAGGGGGACCUUCGGGCCUCUCGCUUCAGGAUAUGCCCAGGUGGGAUUAGCUAGUUGGUGAGGUAAUGGCUCACCAAGGCGACGAUCCCUAGCUGGUCUGAGAGGAUGAUCAGCCACACUGGAACUGAGACACGGUCCAGACUCCUACGGGAGGCAGCAGUGGGGAAUAUUGCACAAUGGGCGCAAGCCUGAUGCAGCCAUGCCGCGUGUAUGAAGAAGGCCUUCGGGUUGUAAAGUACUUUCAGUCGUGAGGAAGGCAAUACAGUUAAUAGCUGUGUUGUUUGACGUUAGC
Molecule: ribosomal RNA, 450 nt
Filed under: Vibrio sp. P12-4
Lineage: Bacteria; Pseudomonadati; Pseudomonadota; Gammaproteobacteria; Vibrionales; Vibrionaceae
Description: bacterial SSU rRNA
Rfam family: Bacterial small subunit ribosomal RNA
Source: RNAcentral